This 8175-nucleotide long non-coding RNA is filed under the name Triticum aestivum (bread wheat). RNAcentral's name for it is "long non-coding RNA (TAES_LNC018299)". Lineage: Eukaryota; Viridiplantae; Streptophyta; Magnoliopsida; Poales; Poaceae. The record is from RNAcentral.
GGGCAUAAUAUUAGCGGCCAUAGAUAACCCGUCAAACGCAGUGGAGUGGGCGCUGGCGGAGAUGGUGAACAACCCAGAAUUGCUGGCCAAGGCAGUGGAGGAGAUGGACCGGGUGGUCGGUCGCGAGCGACUGGUGCAAGAGUCGGACAUCAUGCAGCUCAACUAUCUCAAGGCGUGCAUACGUGAGGCAUUUCGCCUCCACCCAAUCGCUCCCUUCAACCUGCCGCACGUCGCGAUUGCAGACACCAUUGUUGCGGGCUACCGCGUGCCCAAGGGUAGCAACGUCAUCCUCAGCCGGCUGGCCCUGGGCCGGAACCCCACCGUCUGGGAUGAACCGCUCCGCUUCAAGCCAGAGCGCCAUAUGGGAGACAACAUCAAUGUGGUGCUUACUGAGAGCGAAUUGCGGUUCAUCUCCUUUAGCACCGGACAGCGGGGAUGCAUCGCGGCAUCACUAGGAACAACCAUGAGUGUCAUGCUCUUUGGCAGGCUCCUGCAUGGCUUCACCUGGACCAAACCGGCUGGGGUGUCGGCCAUCAAUCUCAGCGAGUCCAAGCACGACCUUUUCAUAGAGAAGCCGCUAGUGCUACAUGCUAAGCCACGUCUUCCAGUGCACCUCUACUCUCUCAUGCAUUGUUGAGCAAAUAACGAGCUAUGAAUCACCGAUAUGGCGAGUACGCUAGCUAUUUUUUUGAUGAAUCUAUACUUACUAAUAAAGGAAGGAAAUAUUCUUUUUUUCGUCUCGCUUUGUUUCGUUCCACUUCGAUUGAUUUUCACGUAUGCUAGCUAUUUUGGUUUUGUCUGUUGCACGUACGAGCGAGCCGGUUUCUUUCAUGCGCCGCUGGAUCGUCCUAGGCUUGUCCAAAGCAUUGGAACAGUACGUGAUAGGCAAACAACCACCCAUCUAGUAUUAAUUUUGGACAAAUAGAGAUUAAAUGUAUACAAGAUGAUGCUCUUUAUAUCACCAACGAAGGAUGAAAGUAGGUCGGCGCAUAUAGGGCAACUCCAUUUGAGUUGUUUCUUCCGGCCCAAGUCCCAGGCGGGGCAGCAUAGCAGCCUAUAAUAGUCUUUCUAUUUUGGUUCAUCAAUUAAAUAGUACCACAUAGUUUUCUUACUUUUAAUCCCACAUAGUUUUCUUACUUUUAAUCCUACAAGUUUAUAUACGCUAGCAUUAAAAAACUCAGAGAGUGAGGUAUGCAAUGAGGAUGCACAUUUCGAGGGUGAUCAGAUCUGAGAUUAUAGGCCAAUGAAAGCAAUACAGACACGAUUAAAGAUCUGUGAUUAUGGGCCAAUGGAACUAGUGAAAACCCAACUAAAUAUCUGAGAUUGUAGGCCAAUGAAAGAAAUGAAGACCCGAUUAAAGAUUCAAGACUAUUAUGGGCCAAUGGAAGAAAUAAAGACGUGAUUAAACUUGCAAACUCAUGCCGAUGUGCAUGGUGCAUAAUUGAAGGACUCGUGGGCUAAAUCAUUAUAAUUUACACGAAAGGCGAGAAGCAGAUGGGUGGGGUAGACCGAGAAGGCAUUUAAGGACGAGGAGGAACUCGCAAUUUUCACACUUGACGCAUACGACCAGCUCGUUGCCACACUCACGAAACAUGAAAUCAUGGGUGAUGACACGCCGAGGUGUCCACCAAAGCCCGUGCCACCAGGGAGAUACCUCUCUCUCUACGGAUUUUUUAUUUCUUGCAAUUAAUUUUGAUGAUAAAGACUAAUGUUUGUCCCGCGUUGCAACACACGGGCAUAUGUGCUAGUAAAUCAAAAGGAAAAAAAAACUGAAAUAAAAAUUAAAAAUAAAAACCUCAAGGAAAAAAACCCAACAAAAAGCCCAAGAAAUACCGGAAUGGAAUCAAACCUUGGAAGAAAAAACCACAAAAUCAGCACAACAAAUGCCGAACCAAAUACAACGAAAGCAACAGAAUAAAAAGGGAGCAACUAGUUGACGAGGGCUCCUUCGGGAGCCUCGCAACGAUCAGCGCCACUUGGCGCGCUCUCAGCCGCCCUGCCACAUGUCGCGCUCUAGACGCUCCUUUCGUAUUUUAAUAUUUUUCGCACGCGUUUUCGGCUUUUUAAAUGGUUUAUUUGGGGGUUUUUUCGACGUUUUGGUUUUCCGCAGCUUUUAGGCCAAAAAACUCAAAAAACAAUUGCGUGAAAAAGCACAUUUUUUUCUUCCGCGAGAGGCACGGUUUUGCUUCCGUGAGAGGCACGGUUGUGCUUUCGCGAGAGGCACAGUUUUGCUUCCGCGAGAGGCACGGUUGUGCUUUCGCGAGAGGCACAGCCGUGCCUCUCGAAAACGAAAAAAAUGCAUUUUCUGGUUUUUUUUCCUUCCGCGAGAGAAACGAUUUUGCUUCCGCGAGAGACACGGUUGUGAUUUUGCGAGAGGCACGGCCGUGCCUCUUUCAAAAAGGAAAAAACGCAUUUUUUUUGUUUUUUUCCUUCCGUGAGAGGCAUUGUUUUGCUUCCCCGAGAGGCACGGUUUUGCUUCCCCGAGAGGCACGGUUGUGAUUCCGGUAGAGGCACGACCAUGCCUCUUUCGAAAAGGGAAAAAACCAUGCUCUUGGUUCGGUUUUUUCGUCCUGUUUAUUCAUGAAGAAAAAGUUCGUUAAAACCUAUCAACAUGGUAUCUAGUUUUUAAGAUCUCGACGCAAGGAAUCGAACGGUGAAAACGGUUCGAGAUUUGGAUGCACGGUUUAAGAGAUAAAAUGUUUUCAAUAAACGGAUCUACAAAAAAAGAGAAAACUCACAUGUUGUGACAAAUGAUGCGUGCCAUUUGUCACAACCUGAGAAGGCGGUUGACACGAUAAACUCAAUUGGCAUUAAUGAUAGAGAUAGGGUAAGUGUCAUGUCUUUAUGUUCCUUCCAUGUUCAUGCUUCUUUUUUGGUGUUUCAAGUGCUAACUUGUUCUUUUGUUUGUAGGUCACUAUUGCAUAAAACUUAUUUCAAGGAGAAGAGAAGAAGACCAAGAAAAGGAAGGUCAAGAAAGGGAGACCAUUUGUGUUGGCCCGUUGCUACAAUGUGUUGAAGGAUGAAGAGAAAUGGAAGGCCCAUGAUGACCAAGAGGAGAGCAAGAAAAGCAAGGCAACUAUUGAUUUGGAUGAUGAGGAGGAGGAGGAGGCAUCUAGUGAUGGCGGCAGGAGAAGCCCUACACCAAACUCGGUUGCCUAGUCCGAACCAAAGAGACCAAAUGGAGGCAAGAAAGAUGCAAAAGAAAAGAAGAAGAAGAAGAAGAAGAAGAAAAAGAAGAAGAAGAAGAAGAAGAAGAAGAAGAAGAAGAAGAAGAAGAAGAAGAAGAAGAAGAAGAAGAAGAAGAAGAAGAAGAAGAAGAAGAAGAAGGAAGCAAACGAGGUGAGGAUGAUGACAAGGAGCCAAGAUGCGGCGGCCGAGGAGAGGAGGGUGGAUGCCGAGGAGAGGAAGGUGGCAUUGGAGGAGAAGAAAUUGGCCAUGGAGGAGCAAUCUAGAUUAUUGAAAUGGGAGAAGCACUUGUUCUUUAUGGACAGAUCUAAACUCGAUGAUAGGCAAAAGGAGUACGUCAUUCUUUCCCCUGAAGAAGUCUUGGUCCAAAAAAGAGCCAUGGCCAUGGGUGGCAUGGGUGGCUUUGGAGCUACCAUGGGAGGAAUGGGAGCACCUACGGGAGGCAUGGGUGGCUUCAGACAUACCAUGGGCGGCUGGGAGGCAUGGGUGUCUUCGGAGCUACCAUGGGAGGCAUGGGUGGCUUUAGAGCUACCAUGGGAGGCAUGAGUUUUGGGUCUCUCAUGAGAGGCACGGGUGCACAUCCGGGUGACAUGGGUGGACGCAUGUCUUCCGGUGUGCCUCACAUACCUUCGCUUUUUCCCAUUGGAGAUCUUAUGAACACCAUCCGAGCUCCCGAUGACGAUGCGGCGCUUGAAAAUGAAGAGGAGGAAGAAUCAUCUUCGGAUGAGGAGGAAGAAUCGGAGGAAGAAGAGGACGAUGAUGAGUGAUGUGGCAUGAUUGUUGAUGUGCCAUUUGUUUGUGCAAACUUUUAUUUGUCAUGAACUUGGUUGGGUGAUUUUGAACUAUGACAUGCAAGUGAACUAUGCUAUGUCUUUGUUUUGCACAUUUGUUUAAUGAUUGAAACAUCAUCAUAUAUACUGUCAAAUGGGCAUGUUAAAAUCAUAUUUGCAAGCGCCGGCUGCUCACACGCUCGGUAAAUUAGCGCGCCUUCUGGAGCUGCUCGCGCGUGCCAUAUUUUACUGCGGCUGCUGGAGCCAGCGCCUUGCUUCACGCAAUAAACGCCAUUUUGACGUUGUAAAAAAGUUUGUGCGGGUCGUGCGGUUGCGCACCUGUUAAAGAUGCUCUUAGAAUCGUGUUUUUACGGCGCCUAUGUGAUGCCCUAUUCUGCAAGAACUUGGAGUUGCGGUCGCCCCUCCGGCCGAUGCAUCACUUCUUCCCUGUCGUAGAGCUCAUGCAGGUCUUUUUCAAGCCACACCGAACCGAAGUCAGUACGUACGUGCCCAGUUCUGCACGUGCUUGGACACAUCUUUUAACCUGCUAGAAGGAGGCCCAUGAGUCCACUCUUGCCUGCGUCGUGCAUGCAUGUCCCNNNNNNNNNNNNNNNNNNNNNNNNNNNNNNNNNNNNNNNNNNNNNNNNNNNNNNNNNNNNNNNNNNNNNNNNNNNNNNNNNNNNNNNNNNNNNNNNNNNNNNNNNNNNNNNNNNNNNNNNNNNNNNNNNNNNNNNNNNNNNNNNNNNNNNNNNNNNNNNNNNNNNNNNNNNNNNNNNNNNNNNNNNNNNNNNNNNNNNNNNNNNNNNNNNNNNNNNNNNNNNNNNNNNNNNNNNNNNGGGCUCCCCGUUUUGCGGUUUAUUUUGCCACCGGUUUUCGAAAGGUUCUAGAACCUUCCCAAAACCGGUUUUUUGGUUUUUUAUGUUUUCUAUAUUAGUUUUCCGUUUUUAUUUUCUUUUAAAUGUUUACUUUCUUUUCUUAUUUUUUCUCUCAUUUUUUCUUUCUUUUUCCUUUUUCCUUUUCUUCUUUUUUUCUUUUACUUUUUACUUUCUUCAGUUUUUGACUAUUUUUGGCAAUUUUUAUUUUUGAAUUCGUUAACACCUUUUUUUCAUCGAAUUCUAGAAAUUUUCAACCAUGUAAAAAAAUGGUCAACAAUCCAGAAAAUGUUCAUCUAAUUCAAUUUUUUGUUCAUCAGAUUUAGAAAAUGUUCAUAAAAAUUCAAAAUUUGUUCAUCGAACUAAAAAAAUGUUCAUCGGAUUCUUUUUUUGUUCAUUGUUUUCAAAAAAUGUUCAUCACAUUCAAAAAAAAUUCACUAAAUUACAAAUCUGUUCAUCAAAUUCAAAUCUUGUUCAUAAUUUUUUCAAAAAAUUUCUUGAAUACAAAUUUUGUUCAUCAAAUAAAAAAUAUGUUCAUAAAAUGCCAAAUUUGUUUAUCGAUGUUCAAAAUAUGUUCAUCAAAUUCAAAAACAUGUACAUUCCUUCGAAAUAACGAACAUUUUUUGAAUUCAAGAAAUGUUUUGGAAUUUGGUGAACAUUUUUUAAUUCUGUCAGCAUUUAUCAUUUCACGAACAUUUUUUUCAAAUCAUCAACAAUUUUUUGAAUUCAUGUACAUUUCACAAGUUGUAGCUAUAUUGAAAUCCCGAAUUAGUCUUACAAUGGAAAACAAUUUAAAAAAAGCAAAAAAAAGAUGCUUCGGCUUUCCCUACCCACACAUGGGCUAGCCCAUAAGGCGGCGCGGGGGAGCGGGGGUUACGCGCUCCAUCGUUCGUUGGCGCAUACAGCGCUAAAUGGGAGGUCUCGAUGUAGCAUCUCAUUGAAUCCCGGACAUGGUCCAACCAUCUCUUCAAACCGAAAGCUGCCCAUAUGGUUCAUCAUCCUGGCGUCUGAAAUACUUUUGGAAAGACAAUUAUGGUUAGUUUUCGGAUAAGUACUCUCGAUAAUCUACAAAUAGGAGAUGUUUUAUUGUAUUUUGAUAACUUUUGGAUAGACAAUCAUUACUAUUAAUAUCAUCCUUCAUAUCUAGAUAAAGUAAGACAAUCUAUAAAUAGAAGAUUUUUAUUCUGUUUUGAUUAAAUUUGGAUAGACAAUUAUUAUUAUUAGUAUUAGCCUUCGUAUCUAGAUAAAUAUAAGGCAAUCUAUAAAUAGAAGUUUUUUUUCUGUUUUGACUACGUUUGGAUAAACAAUUAUUAUUAUUAGUAUCAUCCUUCAUAUCUAAAUAAAUAGAAGACAAUCUACGAAUAGAAGAAUUUUCAUUCUGUAGAAAAUUAUUAUUAUUAGUUCAGGAUUAAUACAUUUGAAAUGCCAUGUGAUAAAUGUGGUAAACGAUCGAUCCACACAUGAGGAAUAUAUCUAGACAUGGUUUAGUGUUAGAUACGUAAAUACCUUCGUAUUUAAUAAAUCUAAGCCAAUUUUUUGGGACGGAGGUAACAUAUAAAGAAGGGUCUCGCACUCAUGGGCAGAGCAGCACGGAGAGCAAAGUUGGCUUCCCUACGCAACGAUAACAAGGGUAGCUACCUCGCAAACCUGUGUGCACUCUGCAAGCAGUAGUCUCCAUAAUGUUGGCUUGCUGCUGCUUUGUUGUGUCCCAGCUGCUCAUCGUAAUAACGCUCAUAUACCUUGUCAUUACCAAGAGCAAGGUCUGAUGUGGCACGUGCUCAUCAGCGAUGGUGCCGCUUCCACUUCCGCCGGGGCCAUGGCUGUGGCCAGUGGUGGGUAGCCUGCCCGAGAUGGUGGUCAACAAGCCAGCGUUCCGUUGGAUCCAUCGCGUGAUGAAGGAUAUGGGCACCGACAUCGCCUACUUCCGCCUUGGCGGCGUCCACGUGGUCCCGAUCACAUGUCCCAAGAUCACAAGGGAGGUGCUCAAGAAGCAGGACAAAAACUUCUCAUCCCGCCCACUCACCUUCGCCUCCAGCGCCAUCAGCAGCGGGUACAAGGACGUCGUGCUCUCGCCGUUCGGCGACCAGUGGAUGAAGAUGUGCAAGGUGCUCACCUCUGAGAUCAUCUGCCCCUCCCGUCACAAAUGGCUCCAUGACAAGCGCGCCGACGAAGCUAACAACUUGACGCGCUACAUCUACAACCUCACCGCCGGGGAGUUGUCAUCUUCAACGUCGGGACUAGCCAACGUCAAUUUCAGGCACGUCGCGCGGCAUUACUGCGGCAACGUCAUCCGCCGGCUUGUCUUUGGCCAACGGUACUUCGGAGAGCCUCAGCCGAACGGCGGGCCGGGGCCAAUGGAGGUGGAGCACAUGGACGCUUCCUUCGCCCUCCUAGGGUUCACCUUCGCGUUCUGCGUCAGCGACUACCUCCCGUGUCUACUUGGCCUAGAUCUCGACGGCCACGAGAAAAUUAUUAAGGAGGCCAACACAAAAGUGGAUAGACUGCACGACGUGGUCAUCGAAGAGCGUUGGAGGCAGUGGAACAGCAGCGAGAGGCAGGACGGGGUCCAGGACUUCCUUGACGUUCUCAUCACGCUCGCCGACGGUGACGGCAAGCCGUUGCUCAACAUCGAUGAGGUCAAAGCACAAUAUAAGGUAAGCAAAUUAUUAAUUAAUGAGAAAUUUUAAGAUGGUUCAAGGGCCUAGAUUGAAUUUAGUGACCAAUUGCCUCAUAGUCCUACAAGGUACUAAUACGUCAUCCAUGACAAAAGGUAAUAGCUCACACUAUUAAAUACUAGAUCUUAUACCGUAUUUCGCAGGUGUUAGAAAAUGGAAACAAUAGAAUAAGAAAUUAUGAAUUAAUAGUUUAAACAUAGCAUUAUUGUAAUUUUCUACCAUUUUGAUGUGAUUUCAACUUGAAUUGUAUUUAAAUUUCCAAUUAUUCAAUGUAAUCUCUCUUUAUGCAAAGGUAUAGAUUGUAAUAACUUACAUUUAUCUCCAUGGAAUGCAUGCAGGGCAUAAUAUUAGCGGCCAUAGAUAACCCGUCAAACGCAGUGGAGUGGGCGCUGGCGGAGAUGGUGAACAACCUAGAAUUGCUGGCCAAGGCAGUGGAGGAGAUGGACCGGGUGGUCGGUCGCGAGCGACCGGUGCAAGAGUCAGACAUCAUGCAGCUCAACUAUCUCAAGGCGUGCAUACGUGAGGCAUUUCGCCUCCACCCAAUCGCUCCCUUCAACCUGCCGCACAUCGCGAUUGCAGACACCAUUGUUGCGGGCUACCGUGUGCCCAAGGGUAGCAACGUCAUCCUCAGCCGGCUGGCCCUGGGCCGGAACCCCACCGUCUGGGAUGAAC